This 189-nucleotide ribosomal RNA is filed under the name uncultured bacterium. RNAcentral describes it as "partial 16S ribosomal RNA". It matches the Rfam family "Bacterial small subunit ribosomal RNA", at positions 340 to 521 of the family's 1533-position model. The record is from RNAcentral.
UACGGGAGGCAGCAGUGGGGAAUAUUGGACAAUGGGCGAAAGCCUGAUCCAGCCAUGCCGCGUGUGUGAAGAAGGUCUUCGGAUUGUAAAGCACUUUAAGUUGGGAGGAAGGGUUGUCGAUUAAUACUCUGCAAUUUUGACGUUACCGACAGAAUAAGCACCGGCUAACUCUGUGCCAGCAGCCGCGGU